AGGGCACCACCAGGAGUGGAGCCUGCGGCUUAAUUUGACUCAACACGGGAAAUCUCACCAGGCCCGGACACUGGAAGGAUUGACAGAUUGAGAGCUCUUUCUCGAUUCGGUGGGUGGUGGUGCAUGGCCGUUCUUAGUUGGUGGAGUGAUUUGUCUGGUUAAUUCCGAUAACGAACGAGACUCUGUCCUGCUAAAUAGUUCCCGCGUCCUUUGUUGCGCGGGAAAUUCUUCUUAGAGGGACUGGCGGCGUCUAGCCGCACGAGAUUGAGCAAUAACAGGUCUGUGAUGCCCUUAGAUGCUCUGGGCCGCACGCGCGCUACACUGAAGGGAUCAGCGCGUCUUCCCUUCCCGAGAGGGACGGGUAACCCGCUGAACCCCCUUCGUGGUAGGGAUCGGGGCUUGCAAUUAUUCCCCGUGAACCAGGAAUUCCCAGUAAGCGCAAGUCAUAAGCUUGCGUUGAUUACGUCCCUGCCCUUUGUACACACCGCCCGUCGCUACUACCGAUUGAACGUUUUAGUG
RNAcentral lists this ribosomal RNA (519 nucleotides) under uncultured eukaryote. Its description in RNAcentral is "SSU rRNA". It matches the Rfam family "Eukaryotic small subunit ribosomal RNA", at positions 1161 to 1703 of the family's 1831-position model. The record is from RNAcentral.